Molecule: long non-coding RNA, 1011 nt
Filed under: Zalophus californianus (California sea lion)
Lineage: Eukaryota; Metazoa; Chordata; Mammalia; Carnivora; Otariidae
Description: lncRNA (ENSZCAG00015010951.1)
Source: RNAcentral
AACGAGGAGGCCCAGGCAGUGAUCAACAUCCUGACCCUAGCUUUUAACUACAUCCUUUCGGGGAGGGAAGAGGAAAGCGCCAGGAGUAAGAUCUGUUUCACCCAACACUUGACCGACCCCAGCUGCAGCCCGGACCACCUGCCUUCCCAGCCGGCCUCUCCCGCGUCGGGCAGCCCCUUCCUCGGCCCGGCCACACAGCCCCCACCGACCCGCCACUGCUCACAGACCCCGGCCCGAGACGCGCCUCCCGGAGGCUUUGGCUGCCCCAAACCCGGCCCCUUCGGCCACGGGGAGCCCGGGCCUCGAGAAACCGACCAGCUGCCGUCGCCGAGGGGUAAGGUUACCGCUCCGCGCCGCGGCCGGCCUGCAACCCGGCCACCUGCAGGGCCUGGCAGGCGCCCGAACUCUCCCUCCUGCCCGCGGCCCGCGCCGGGACAGGACGGGCCCGGCCGCCACCUGGGAGGCGGGGAGGCCGGCGGCCCCUCGCGACCCGCGGCGACCCCGCCGCCAGGCCCCCACCCCGGGUCCCGGACGUCCUGCGGCGUCAGCGCCGCCCCCACAGCCGCUCACCCGGGCUGGGACAGUCUUGCGUCGGAGAGACCGCGCAGCGCGAGAGGGCUGGGGGAGGUGGCCGGAGGGAGAGAAAGAGGGAGAGCGCCCAGCACCGCUUCGGCCUCCUCCACCCGCCAAGGAGGGGAAAGAGGAGAGCACAACAGCCCGCGCCUCGCACCCUCCGCCGCCGCCGCCGCCGCCGCCGCCGCGCGCGCCCGCCGCCGCCUCAGCCUCGGGGGAGGCCACUAUGCUCGUGCCCGCGCACGCCGCGCAGCUCUCCCAGUCGCCCCAGCGCCCUCCUGCUCCUCGCCGCCCACGCGCCUUCCUGCUGCGGCCGCCUCCCGCGCUCCUCCCCUGCUCGCACGCCUGCGCCCUUUCCGGUCGCGCGGGCCAAUGGCAGCGCGCCCCUAUUACAUAAGCGCUAGGGGCGGGGCCUGGCGGCGACGGCGGCCCCUGUGA